Molecule: long non-coding RNA, 368 nt
Filed under: Nicotiana benthamiana
Lineage: Eukaryota; Viridiplantae; Streptophyta; Magnoliopsida; Solanales; Solanaceae
Description: long non-coding RNA (NBEN_LNC023309)
Source: RNAcentral
GCAGUGACUGAGGGGGACUUGUUCUGUGAUAAACAAAUGACUUCAAACAAGAACCUCAGGGCAUCCAAAAGAGGUGAACCUGAGAAGAGCAGUAAGAGUAAGCGUUCAAGUACUGGUGCUAUGACCAACAAGGUGGAAGAUCCUCCCCUGGUUCGAAUCACCCUGAAUGAAGAGUGGGCGAACAAGAUGCAAAACAUAUCAUAAAUGUUGAAUUCUAAGAAAGAGGGGGGAGGGGGAAAGUAAAGGCCAAAGAACAAAAGACAAAUAAGGGCUGCACAAGACGAAAAACCAGAGGUAGCGCUAAGGUGCGAGGGGAAUGUAAAAACAACAAUAGUUCCACAUGAAGGUCCUUAUAUGGAAUGUCAAAA